RNAcentral lists this ribosomal RNA (423 nucleotides) under uncultured cyanobacterium. RNAcentral's name for it is "bacterial SSU rRNA". It matches the Rfam family "Bacterial small subunit ribosomal RNA", at positions 358 to 795 of the family's 1533-position model. The record is from RNAcentral. Lineage: Bacteria; Bacillati; Cyanobacteriota.
GGAAUUUUCCGCAAUGGGCGAAAGCCUGACGGAGCAAUACCGCGUGAGGGAGGAAGGCUCUUGGGUUGUAAACCUCUUUUCUCAGGGAAUAAGCAAGUGAAGGUACCUGAGGAAUCAGCAUCGGCUAACUCCGUGCCAGCAGCCGCGGUAAUACGGAGGAUGCAAGCGUUAUCCGGAAUGAUUGGGCGUAAAGCGUCCGUAGGUGGCUGUGUGUGUCUAUUGUUAAAGAGUUUGGCUCAACCAAAUAAGGGCGGUAGAAACUACACAGCUAGAGUGCGUUCGGGGCAGAGAGAAUUCCUGGUGUAGCGGUGAAAUGCGUAGAGAUCAGGAAGAACACCGGUGGCGAAAGCGCUCUGCUAGGCCGCAACUGACACUGAGGGACGAAAGUUAGGGGAGCGAAUGGGAUUAGAUACCCCUGUAGUC